GGCCUGGCUGGACGGUCCGCCCUUCGGGUGAGUACUGUCUGUGGUCGGGUCCUACCUUCUGGCGAAGCGUCAUGGCCUUAACCGGGUGUGGCGGGGAACCAGGACUUUUACCUUGAAAAAAUUAGAGUGUUUAAAGCAGGCCAAUUGCUUGAAUACAUUAGCAUGGAAUAAUGAAAUAGGACCUCGGUUCUAUUUUGUUGGUUUCUAGGACCGAAGUA
RNAcentral lists this ribosomal RNA (218 nucleotides) under Campeiostachys nutans. RNAcentral's name for it is "Elymus nutans partial small subunit ribosomal RNA". The stretch from base 94 to 218 matches the Rfam family "Eukaryotic small subunit ribosomal RNA", at positions 738 to 864 of the family's 1831-position model. The record is from RNAcentral. Lineage: Eukaryota; Viridiplantae; Streptophyta; Magnoliopsida; Poales; Poaceae.